CAUUGCGGGGGCGCUCUUUGCUUUUCAUACCUCUACGUUCCAUUUCUGCAUUGCAGGGGCGCUCUUUCCUUUUCAUACCUCUAUGUUGCCUUUCUGCAUUGCGGGGGCGCUCUUUCCUUUUCAUACCUCUAUGUUCUAUUUCUGCAUUGCAGGGGCGCUCUUUACUUUUCAUAUCUCUAUGUAGCUUUUAGCAUUGCAGAGGCGCUCUUUACUUUUCAUACUUCUAUGUUCCAUUUCCGCAUUGCGAGGGUCUCUUUACUUUUCAUACCUCUAUGUUCACUUUCCGCAUUGCAGGGGCGCUCUUUGCUUUUCAUACCUCUAUGUUCCAUUUCUGCAUUGCGGGGGCACUCUUUAUUUUCAUACGUGUAUGUUUCCUUUCUGCAUUGCAGGAGCGCUCUUUAAUUUUCAUACCUCUAUGUUCCAUUUCCGCAUUGCGGGGUGCUCUUUACUUUUCAUACCUCUAUGUUCCAUUUCUGCAUUGCGGGGGUGCUCUUUCCUUUUCAUACCUCUGUGUUCCAUUUCUGCAUUGCAGGGGCACUCUUCACUUUUCAUACCUCUAUGUUCUAUUUCUGCAUUGCAGGAGCGCUCUUUAAUUUUCAUACUUCUAUGUUCCAUUUCCGCAUUGCGGGGGUCUCUUUACUUUUCAUACCUCUAUGUUCACUUUCCGCAUUGCAGGGGCACUCUUUGCUUUUCAUACCUCUAGGUUCCAUUUCUGCAUUGCAGGAGCGCUCUUUCCUUUUCAUACCUCUGUGUUCCAUUUCUGCAUUGCGGGGGCACUCUUUACUUUUCAUACGUCUAUGUUUAAUUUCUGCAUUGCAGGAGCGCUCUUGACUUUUCAUACUUCUAUGUUCCAUUUCCGCAUUGCCGGGGUCUCUUUACUUUUCAUACCUCUAUGUUCACUUUCCGCAUUGCAAGGGCGCUCUUUGCUUUUCAUACCUCUAGGUUCCAUUUCCGCAUUGCAGGGGCGCUCUUUGCUUUUCAUUCCUCUAUGUUCCAUUUCCGCAUUGCGGGGGCGCUCUUUACUUUUCAUACCUCUAUGUUCACUUUCCGCAUUGCGGGGGCGCUCUUUACUUUUCGUACCUCUAUGUUCCUCCUAUCCCUCCCUUUCCCGCCUCCGCCUCCGCUCUCUUCUCCCAUUGGUUGUAGCUUGGGAGGUCCCGCCCCUUUCCCCUUCCUUCGCUCCCUCAUUGGUCGAAGCGCGUCCUGGAAGAUAUGUAGUGCGGGGGCGUUUUCCAUCGUAGCCGCAAUAAUACAAAAUAAAUAAUUAUAUAAUAUCAGAGAUAUAUAGUAUUAGAGCUUAUUAAUAAUCGUUACGUAUUAUUAUGUUGUUUGAAUAUUAGGUGUAUGGAUGUGUCAGGAUUGGCGACGGAAGGGACGGGUUGUGUGAUGGACCUGCCGGGACUUGGGGGCGGGGCAAGGGGCGCGGCCUGGCGCGUGAGAGCCGGGGAAGGGAACAGCCAAGAUGGCGGCCGGGGUGAGGCGGGCGAAGCGCCGCUGAGGAGAACGUAAGGAAAAGGCCUUUAGAUUAUAUUAUUAUUAUUGUGUUAUUAUUUCAUAUUAUAUUAUUAUCGUACAUAUUAUGUUGCAUCACGUUUAUAAUAUAUUAUUUCUUUAUUAUUUCAUAUUAUUAUAAUAGACAUGAUUUUGCAUUAUUAUGUUGUUAUUUCAUAUUAUAUUAUUUUUAUAAUUUUGCAUCCUUAUAUUAGUUGGUUUUUAUAUUAUUAUCGUUUUGCAUCAAAAAAAUCCGAAACUUGGGAGGAGUAGUCCCCUGGCCCGUGGGCUGAUCGUGACAAAAUUGAUGGCAUUGGUGACAGCUCUUCUUUUUGGGACCAUUUUUGGCCGGAAGAAACGAGGGAAAAUUCACUUGUGGCCUCUUUGGAACUUGGAAAAAGUUUCCGUCUUUUGGGUCACACACCCUUAGUUGUGGAUGCUGGGCGUUGUGGUCCGAAAAGCGUUCUCUUUGUGCAACUAAUUCGGACUAAUCCAGUGACAUAAAUGAGCCUUUUUUUCCCCCGGCGCCGUUUGCCUACAACCGUCAAAAGCAGAUCGGAACCCAAGGAAGGGGUCGGAGUUCUGGGUUGGGCCUUUUGUUGGGUUGCGCGCACACGGAAACAAAAUAAUCACUGUAAAGCACUUUUAUUAUUAUUAAUAAUAAUUCAAUUUAAAAAGAGCAUUUACAACUGAGCCUUGCUCGCUCGCCCGGCUCUUGUUUUGUAUUUUUGUUUAUUACAAAACGGUAUUUGUUCGUUUAAAGAGAAAAAAAAAACAGGAAACGGUUUGAUUUUUCAGAGCAAGGCAACCCUUCUUAUUCUUUUUUUAUUUAAAAAGGCCCUGGCGGCAGGAAUAUAGUGUAAAAAUCAUUGGAAACACUGAAAGGCAUCAAUACAUAUUGGAAUAAUAUACACUUUGUACAAACGAAAAUUACACACCGUUCAUUAUUUCUUUUGUUUUGUUUUGUUCGGAGGUUCUGGUUCAGAAACUGAGGUCCGAAUAA
Anolis carolinensis (green anole) is the source of this 2494-nucleotide long non-coding RNA. RefSeq lists it as uncharacterized. The transcript is spliced from 2 exons. NCBI's taxonomy places the organism in Eukaryota, Metazoa, Chordata, Lepidosauria, Squamata, Anolidae. The record is from RefSeq and is a predicted model, not a curated record.